AGUGAACGCUGGCGGUAGGCCUAACACAUGCAAGUCGAACGGCAGCACAGUAAGAGCUUGCUCUUACGGGUGGCGAGUGGCGGACGGGUGAGGAAUACAUCGGAAUCUACUUUUUCGUGGGGGAUAACGUAGGGAAACUUACGCUAAUACCGCAUACGACCUACGGGUGAAAGCAGGGGAUCUUCGGACCUUGCGCGAUUGAAUGAGCCGAUGUCGGAUUAGCUAGUUGGCGGGGUAAAGGCCCACCAAGGCGGCGAUCCGUAGCUGGUCUGAGAGGAUGAUCAGCCACACUGGAACUGAGACACGGUCCAGACUCCUACGGGAGGCAGCAGUGGGGAAUAUUGGACAAUGGGCGCAAGCCUGAUCCAGCCAUACCGCGUGGGUGAAGAAGGCCUUCGGGUUGUAAAGCCCUUUUGUUGGGAAAGAAAAGCAGCAGGUUAAUACCCCGCUGUUCUGACGGUACCCGAAGAAUAAGCACCGGCUAACUUCGUG
RNAcentral lists this ribosomal RNA (492 nucleotides) under uncultured bacterium. RNAcentral describes it as "partial 16S ribosomal RNA". It matches the Rfam family "Bacterial small subunit ribosomal RNA", at positions 29 to 507 of the family's 1533-position model. The record is from RNAcentral.